UAAAUAACAAUCGAUAUGUUGCUUUUGUGACAUUUCGGAGUUGGGUCAUCUUAAUCUUACUUUUUAAGGGACCUAAAAUUGAUGUUCUUGCGCAUCUUGACGUGUAUAAUUUUUUUUAUCUCGUCACUUGGAUGCUGGAUAUUAUUAGGUGUGACUAUGUUAAGUGGUUUCAUGCCUAUAAUGAUUCUUGAUU
Molecule: unclassified non-coding RNA, 193 nt
Filed under: uncultured Rhizophagus
Lineage: Eukaryota; Fungi; Glomeromycota; Glomeromycetes; Glomerales; Glomeraceae
Description: sequence contains ITS2
Source: RNAcentral